CAUCAGACGGCUGGUAGAGUAUCGGCUCACCAGGGGUUUGACGAGUAGUAAACCUGAGAGGGUUGCUCCCCACAAGGGAAGAGUAACACGGUCCAUACCCGUACGGGUGGCAGCAGUAGGGAAUAUUAGAAAUGGGCGGAAGCCUGAUCGAGCAACACCGCGUGUGCGAUGAAGGCAUUUGGGUGUAAAGCACUUUUAGGAGGGAAUAGGAAGGAAGGUACGUCCAGAAUAAGUUUAGCAUAAGUACGUUCCAGCAGCCGCGGUAACAUGUUGGAGGCAAACCUUAUCUGGAUUCAAUGGGUGUAAAGCGCGUGCAGGUGGUUCUGUAAGUAGGGCGUGAAAGCUCCCGGCUCAACUGGGAGAGGCCGUACUAAACUGCGGAGCUAGAGGAUGGUAGAGGGAGGUGGAAUUCCAGGUGUAGUGGUGAAAUGAGCAGAUAUGAGGAGGAACACCAGUGGGGAAGGCGGCCUCCUGGACCAUUCCAGACACUCAGACGCGAAAGCUAGGGUAGCAAACGGAAUUAGAGACUCCGGUAGUCCUAGCCCUAAACGAUGCAGAGAAGGCGU
Molecule: ribosomal RNA, 566 nt
Filed under: uncultured bacterium
Lineage: Bacteria
Description: bacterial SSU rRNA
Rfam family: Bacterial small subunit ribosomal RNA
Source: RNAcentral